GAGUUUGAUCCUGGCUCAGGAUGAACGUUGGCGGUGUGCCUAAUACAUGCAAGUCGAACGGAGUUAAUAGCAAUAUUGGCUCAGUGGCGAACGGGUGAGUAACGCGUUGGUGAUCUGCCUUGAAGUGUGGAAUAACGUUUCGAAAGGAACGCUAAUACCGCAUGUGCUCUCGAUUUUCAGAAAGUUGAGAGUAAAGGAUUUAUUCGCUUCAAGAGGAGCCUGCGUCCCAUCAGCUGGUUGGUAGGGUAACGGCCUACCAAGGCUAUGACGGGUAGGGGACCUGAGAGGGUGGCCCCCCACAAUGGAACUGAAACACGGUCCAUACACCUACGGGUGGCAGCAGUAGGGAAUAUUAGAAAUGGACGAAAGUCUGAUCUAGCAACACCGCGUGUGCGAAGAAGGCCUUCGGGUCGUAAGGCACUUUUUGGAAGGAAUAGGAAGGAAUGUACUUCCAGAAUAAGUCUCGGCUAACUACGUGCCAGCAGCCGCGGUAACACGUAGGAGGCGAACGUUAUCCGGAUUUACUGGGCGUAAAGCGCGUGUAGGUGGUACUGUAAGUAGGGCGUGAAAGCUCCUGGCUCAACUGGGAGAGGCCGUUCUAAACUACAGAACUAGAGGAUGGUAGAGGGAGGUGGAAUUCCAGGUGUAGCGGUGGAAUGCGCAGAUAUCUGGAGGAACACCGGUGGCGAAGGCGGCCUCCUGGACCAUUCCUGACACUCAGACGCGAAAGCUAGGGUAGCAAACGGGAUUAGAGACCCCGGUAGUCCUAGCCCUAAACGAUGUAGACUAGGCGUCGGAAGCUUAAUCGCUUUCGGUGUCCAAGCUAACGCGAUAAGUCUACCGCCUGGGGACUACGGCCGCAAGGUUAAAACUCAAAGGAAUUGACGGGUCCCCGCACAAGCAGCGGAGCGU
This 912-nucleotide ribosomal RNA is filed under the name uncultured bacterium. RNAcentral describes it as "bacterial SSU rRNA". It matches the Rfam family "Bacterial small subunit ribosomal RNA", at positions 9 to 940 of the family's 1533-position model. The record is from RNAcentral.